AUGCACUCAAGGAAGGAAUGUAUGUGAUUGCGGAUGUCGAUCCUCAGUCAAGGAUCUCUAAGUUGCUUUAGGAAAUAUUUGUUAAGGGCUCAUAUUUGUAAGGGGGACCUGAGAAUUGGCCUCACUUGUUUUUUCAAAGGUAUGUGCGCAAGUGUAAGUUGUUUGUUUCCUGAUACACCAGUAUCCCAUAUAAAAUGGUGCCAAUUGAUAGCUGGCUCAGGAGCCAUGCCUGUCAAUGAAGAGAAAAAGUGUCGGCCCUUAGCUAUUUAGGAUAGGACACACAUUAUUAAUGCUGGCAUCUCCUCAAAAUUUUCUUCCAGUCCUUUUGAGACUAACAGCUGUCUUCUAUGAAAAAUGCUAGCACUGUCAUAAGAAAAAAUUCAUUCUCUUUGAUGAACAUUUGGGAACUUUAAGUGGGUGGGUGGAGAAAGAGUGUGAUCACAGAUGGCCUGUCAUUCAGCUGUGCCUUUGGAUAGGGCACCUUUUCAGCUUCGGGGAGAAAGUGAUGGAACAUUCUGGGGGAUAACUCUAGCUUCCUGGAUGUAUCCUUGGGAGAAGAGCUACUCAUCUCUGCUGCAUCAAGAUGAACAACCCAGCUUUGCCUAAGCUAAUCUUUUGAAGGCAGCCACCAGGAAGGGCAGGGUAAUUGAGGAAAGAAAGCACAGCAGGGUGAAUACCAUCAAGAAGGAAUAUGGUGAGUGCAACCAUCAAAGGACCUAGCUAGUUAUAAUAGUGACAUACCAAACUGGGACUCUUUUUGUCCUCUCUUACUGAUCUCUUGUACCGCUGGGCUGAACCCAGGUCACUGCUCAAGCUAGGCAAGUACUCAUCAUUAAGCUACACCCUAGUCACCAAAGUUAAGAUGUCACCAUUGUUUCUGGUUAAUAACUCCUUCUCCACUGGAGGCCAUACAAGCCUGAGUUUCUCCUACUCUUGCUCUUGUCUUACCUCCUACCAACCUUUCUAUAUAGGGACCAGCCAUCACAAAAUCAUAGGAUUUGCUGGGGCUGGUUGUUCAUGCUGUAAUCUCAGUAGAGGCAGAGCUGAAGCAAGUUUGGGAUCAGUUGAACUGUGAUCCUAACUAGUCUUAAUCAAUAAAAACCCGGAGUCACAUAUCGAGGGUGAAAGCUGAAAGAUCAGAAAAAGCAGAGGAACAGCCCCUAGAAACUUCUUACCUCUAUGGGGGUGACCCUAUCUCUACCCACUUUAUAUUCUUAUCUCCACCUCCCUAGUGCUGGGAUCAAAGGUAUGAGCCACCACCGCCCAGCUCUACUUCUCUUUUAGACUGGUUCAAUCUCAUGUAGCCCAAGGUGGCCUUGAACUCCUGAUCUUCCUGCUUUCUCCUCCCAAGUGCUGGAAUUAAAGGUACAAACCACCACUGCCUGGCCUCUAUGGUCUAGCUCCACACUCUGAUCUCCAGGCAAGCUUUAUUUGUCAAAACACAAAGCAUCAGAUAACAGUCAGCCUAGGCUAUAGAGUGAGAAUACAUCUCAAAAACCAAACCCAGGAAAUAAACAACAAAACCAAACCCAACAAUAACAAAACUGUUUGAUUGUAUCCUUGUUUGAUAAUAUUAUCCUGAUGGGUCUUGCUUUAUCACCUAGAGAGGGAAUACUGCAGAAUAGCAAAAAACACUGAUGAACACAGGCCCUCCCUGAUUUCCCCAUCCAGUCUACUGUAAUUCAACUGCAAUGAUACAGCCAUAAGGCACAGGACUCAGAAGGCAGUUUCCAAGUAUGGCAGGUCCAGAGAAGUCCUGUGUUCCUUCCUCUGGACCUUUUAUUUUGCAUCUUUUCAUGUGUCCCCUUUGUAAACAGAUAAACUUGCUUCCCUGAGUCUGUGAGCAGAUGAGCAAAUCAGUCAAAGCUAAAGAAGGAAAUAUGGAAAGCAUGGUUGAUAGUCAGCAGGUCAGAACAUGAGUAAAGAACCUGGGGCUUGCAACUUGCAUCUAAAGUGGAGGGCAGGAGUCAGGAGAAUGGUUCGAUAGGUAAAGGCCUUUGCAGCAGAGGCUAACCACCAGAGUUUAAUCCCUGGAAACCACAUGGUAUAUAAAGAAUAUUGAAUAUUGUAACUUGUCCUCUGACAUCCUCCAAUGCACCAAUUUUUAAAAAAAGUAAUAAAGAGGAUAGGAAGAUAGCUCAGCGGGUUAAGAGUGCUUGCUACCAAGCAUGGAGAACUAAGCUCACUUCCUAGAACUAAUAUGGUGGAAGGAAAUAACCAACACCCUCCACACACGAGACACACACACACACACACACACACACACACACACACACACACACAACUAAAAAAUGUAGUUAGGCAUGGUGGUGCACACCUUUAAUCCCAGCACUUGGGAAAUUGAGGCAAGAGGACUGAGGCCAGCCUAAGCUACAUAGUAAAUUUUUAAAAAUCAAAUCAAACACUGCUACAGAACAAACAAGAAUAAUAAACUCAGAUUUGAUGUUUUAAGUGGAGUGAAAGGCUACCUCUCUAUAUCCUUACCAUUGCUGAGCGAAUCUGUGCUCCCGGGGCUGUGCUGUCUGGAGACCAGCUCAGUCCCAGUUUUCCUCAUCUCUGUGUUUUCAUUAAAUCGCCUUUUCCAAUAGUUGAGUUCUUCACGAUCAGAUUCCUGACAGCGCCUCAGAACCGCCAUGGAGCGCCUUGUUUUCUCUACCAUUUCCAUAAUGCAGUUCAGGGCCUGAGCCAGAGAGAAAGUGAGGCACAGGGCUGAGGACCGAACCCAGGGCUUUUUAGCGCUCUACCACUGAGCUAAAUCCCCAACCCCAUGGACUCACAGAUUUUACAAUCUUAGGAAUAAAGUUUACGUCUCAAAAUCA
This is a long non-coding RNA of Peromyscus eremicus (cactus mouse), 2819 nucleotides long. RefSeq lists it as uncharacterized. The transcript is spliced from 2 exons. The record is from RefSeq and is a predicted model, not a curated record. NCBI's taxonomy places the organism in Eukaryota, Metazoa, Chordata, Mammalia, Rodentia, Cricetidae.